AGAAAUAGACAGUGUCUGUCUUCAUUUCAGAUCGACAAAGGUCAGUUUAAAGGAUUUUCGUCCGAUUUUGAGAGGCGUUAGUCACGCUCAUCCCGCUCGUCAUUUCCAGGUCAGCACAGCGCCUGCACACCCACCGAUUCAACAUGUCAAAUCGGCCAAAAUGAAGGCCGAC
Long non-coding RNA from Etheostoma cragini (Arkansas darter), 172 nucleotides. RefSeq lists it as uncharacterized. The record is from RefSeq and is a predicted model, not a curated record. Lineage: Eukaryota; Metazoa; Chordata; Actinopteri; Perciformes; Percidae. The transcript is spliced from 3 exons.